AAUCAAAAAAAAAAUGUCACUUUUUUGAGCACCGGUUACUUGAAAAUGUCGUAUAAAGUCUUUAUAAUGAAAUAGAUUCAGAAGAAAGAGCACAAAAUAACUUAUACAAUAGAAAGAAAUAAACCUAAAAUAAAUUUGUUACAUGGUGACGAUUAAACAAAUAAUGGCACUCAAUUAAAUUUCAAUAUUGACGUAUAAAAGUCAAAGCCUCAAUAUAAAGCAAAGAACUUCACAUAUUUGAUGAACCAGCUAACAACAAGUCGCCCAUUUUAUGAGUUCUUUAGGAUGGUGCAGGUGUAGGAAAGAGUCGUUUGAUAUCAGCAAUAAUCAUAUGCAGAUUUUAACCAACAUUACAAUUCUACACCUGGAGCAGACAUCAGCAUUCAGAACAGAACGGCUUCCCCUAAAAUAAUACGGAUGGUUACAUUGGAUUGAAACACAGAUAUGCAAUUAUCGCAAGGAAUGUUUGAAUACCAGAGAACGCGACCCAUUAAGGUGUAGCAUAUUAGCAUGACAACCAUUGGAAUACCAUAGAAUGUGGAACUCCUAUAUGAAUUACCAUAAACAUUUUCAAUACACGCACACUACAUAUACAUAUAUAUGUAUUAUAGUUACAAAGAGAGAUUGAGAGGAUAUGUUUUUGUUGUAAUACUGAUCGUUCUUUCUAACCAAAAUCGCUACUUAYGUACAUAUGUAUAUAACUUUUAAAAUUAUAUUCCGACAAGGGAGGAACACCUUUUAAGAUAACUUCGAAAGGGCGAAUGAAGAGAAGUUUUCACUUGUCAACCAUCACCAACAGAAGUUUGCCACGCUUGCAGAGUGAAAAUUGUUCUUAGAAAACACGUUUUGAUAUUAUUUGGAAUUUGGAUCGAAGACAGAAACUACGGGGUAACGCUUAUCUCUUGCAUUUAUAUAGAGAAGAAUUAUAUGAUAUACAAUGUUCGGUUGCAUGUGUUGAAUACAAUGCUCGCGACAGACCUCAAACG
Bactrocera latifrons is the source of this 986-nucleotide long non-coding RNA. RefSeq lists it as uncharacterized. The transcript is spliced from 3 exons. Lineage: Eukaryota; Metazoa; Arthropoda; Insecta; Diptera; Tephritidae. The record is from RefSeq and is a predicted model, not a curated record.